AGGACAAACGCUGGCGGCGUACCUAAGACAUGCAAGUCGAACGGACUGUGCGUCUUCGGAUGUGCAGUGAGUGGCAAACGGGUGAGUAACGCGUAGGAACCCGCCUCGACGUGGGGGAUAACACUUGGAAACAGGUGCUAAUACCGCAUGUGGUCGCAAGAAGAAAGGCCUUCGGGUCGCGUUGAGAGGGGCCUGCGUCCGAUUAGCUAGUUGGUGGGGUAAAAGCCUACCAAGGCGACGAUCGGUAGCUGGUCUGAGAGGAUGGUCAGCCACACUGGGACUGAGACACGGCCCAGACUCCUACGGGAGGCAGCAGUUAGGAAAUUUUGCCAAUGGGGGAAACCCUGAGCGAGUAACGCCGCGUGGAGGAUGACGGCCUUCGGGUUGUAAACUCCUUUUCUGUGGACGAUGAUGACGGUACCACAGGAAGAAGCCCGGCUAACUACGCGCCAGCAGCCGC
RNAcentral lists this ribosomal RNA (460 nucleotides) under uncultured bacterium. RNAcentral's name for it is "SSU rRNA". It matches the Rfam family "Bacterial small subunit ribosomal RNA", at positions 26 to 518 of the family's 1533-position model. The record is from RNAcentral.